GCUCAGGGCAGAUGGUCAGGGGCGAUGGUGAACACAUGGCAUGGAUGGGGGUUGGGGCCGGAGGAAGGCAGGUGAGUGGACGGAGGCCGAGGCGAUGUCUGGUGGAGGGGUGGUGGGUGGUCAGGGAGGAGGGGGGUAUGAGGACU
This is a long non-coding RNA of Amblyraja radiata (thorny skate), 146 nucleotides long. RefSeq lists it as uncharacterized. NCBI's taxonomy places the organism in Eukaryota, Metazoa, Chordata, Chondrichthyes, Rajiformes, Rajidae. The transcript has 3 exons. The record is from RefSeq and is a predicted model, not a curated record.